GACGAACGCUGGCGGCGUGCUUAACACAUGCAAGUCGAACGGAAAGGCCCUGCUUUUGUGGGGUGCUCGAGUGGCGAACGGGUGAGUAACACGUGAGUAACCUGCCCUUGACUUUGGGAUAACUUCAGGAAACUGGGGCUAAUACCGGAUAGGAGCUCCUGCUGCAUGGUGGGGGUUGGAAAGUUUCGGCGGUUGGGGAUGGACUCGCGGCUUAUCAGCUUGUUGGUGGGGUAAUGGCUUACCAAGGCUUUGACGGGUAGCCGGCCUGAGAGGGUGACCGGCCACAUUGGGACUGAGAUACGGCCCAGACUCCUACGGGAGGCAGCAGUGGGGAAUAUUGCACAAUGGGCGGAAGCCUGAUGCAGCAACGCCGCGUGCGGGAUGACGGCCUUCGGGUUGUAAACCGCUUUCGCCUGUGACGAAGCGUGAGUGACGGUAAUGGGUAAAGAAGCACCGGCUAACUACGU
RNAcentral lists this ribosomal RNA (467 nucleotides) under uncultured bacterium. RNAcentral's name for it is "partial 16S ribosomal RNA". It matches the Rfam family "Bacterial small subunit ribosomal RNA", at positions 28 to 506 of the family's 1533-position model. The record is from RNAcentral.